Molecule: ribosomal RNA, 369 nt
Filed under: uncultured bacterium
Lineage: Bacteria
Description: bacterial SSU rRNA
Rfam family: Bacterial small subunit ribosomal RNA
Source: RNAcentral
GUAGGGUGCAGGCGUUAAUCGGAAUUACUGGGCGUAAAGCGUGCGCAGGCGGCUCCUUAAGUCAGAUGUGAAAUCCCCGGGCUUAACCUGGGAACUGCGUUUGAAACUGGGGAGCUAGAGUGUGGAAGAGGGGGGUGGAAUUCCAGGUGUAGCAGUGAAAUGCGUAGAGAUCUGGAGGAACACCGAUGGCGAAGGCAGCCCCCUGGGCUAACACUGACGCUCAUGCACGAAAGCGUGGGGAGCAAACAGGAUUAGAUACCCUGGUAGUCCACGCCCUAAACGAUGUCAACUGGUUGUCGGGGAAGCAAUUCCUUGGUAACGAAGCUAACGCGUGAAGUUGACCGCCUGGGGAGUACGGUCGCAAGAUUA